GAAAUCUCUCCUACGACUCCGUAACUUCAGGCACUAUUUUCAUUUUCCCGCCGCUAUUGUUUUCCUUCUUUUUCGGGAUUUCCGGAUGACCGAAUGGUGUAACGUCAUUAUCUCGAUUCAAAGGAAAGCUCUCUGGUAGAUUGUAUGGGAUGCCGUCCUGUUUGUUGAUAACCCUAUCCGUCACCUUCGGUGUAGAAUGUUUACGGUACGCUCCUCGAAUAUCGGAACAACUCGUUAAUAUCGGAUCAGCAGUUUCCGGCUUUCCUUUUCUCGACUUUUUAUUCUCGAGCUCUAUUUUUCCUGCUUUCGCUUUCUCCGCUAUUGUUCUGUUUUGACUUUUCUCCUUUGAACCUUCCUUCUCUACACGCCCGACGGCAGAUUCUUUAUUGCUCUGCAACUCUCCAACAUCACUUUCAACAGUUCGCUUCAGCUUCAACAAUUUCAACUUUUCAUUCAUAUUUGCCCGCAUUUCGUUCAGAUUCUUCUGAUGCUCUUCUUCUUCCGCAAUUUUCUUUUCCAACUGCGCCUUCUCAAACUCCAAUUCCAUAUUCCGCUUCUCCCGUUCCAGCUGCUGACGCAUAUCAAGCAAUUCCUGCUGCAUUUGCAGUCUCUUCCGGUGCAAAAUCAUCUCUCUUUCAAUUUGCCGUUUUUGCUUUUUCUUCUCUUCCUCUAACUGUUCCAGUUCUUUCUGAAGCUCAGACGAAUCAGCAACAUCCGACUCACAUGCUUCGCAAUCCGGACAACUCCAGGAAAUGUUUCGUACGUCGUCAUUAACACCUGCACAACCGAAAUGAUACCAUCUUUGACAGUGAUCGCAAAAUACCAUAUUCGUUUCAUCGUUAUCGGGACGAUGGCAAGCCGCGCAAUUGUAGCCAGACUGUUCGGGAUUCUCGGGGUUACUAGUUCGAAUGCUUACGAAAUCUCUCCUACGGUAUUUCAAAUGAUUUAGAAUGGAUAAAUAUUAUACUCUAUC
Molecule: long non-coding RNA, 973 nt
Organism: Malaya genurostris
Lineage: Eukaryota; Metazoa; Arthropoda; Insecta; Diptera; Culicidae
Exons: 3
Source: RefSeq, a predicted model, not a curated record